Dipodomys ordii (Ord's kangaroo rat) is the source of this 70-nucleotide non-coding RNA. The record is from Rfam. Lineage: Eukaryota; Metazoa; Chordata; Mammalia; Rodentia; Heteromyidae.
GGGAACGUGGCUCAGUGGUAGAGUGUUUGCCUUGCAUGCAUGAGUCCUUGGGUUCGAUUCCUCAGCCCCA